AUUCUGAGACUUUACAACCCUCAGCUAAGGCUUUGAUGAUGCUGGAUAUUUCAGGAUCUUUCUGUUGUUCCUCCCACAGUGUGGUCAUGGAAAAGGGAAAGUCUUCUGUAUCCUUCUGACUGGAAGUCAUCAUACAGGCAGGGCCGAGUGGAAUCCUAGACAGAGCAUCCGGUGCCACAUUGAGUUUGCCUUUCCGGUAUUCAAUUACAAAAUUGAAUUUUUGGAGUCGAAGUGCCCAUCUUAUAAGACGACUAGAUGUUUUAGUGCUGUUCAUUACCCACUGUAAGGAGGCAUGGGUACGGCUUGCAUAAGCGAUCACCUCCUCGUGACCGACUCCCUUCUUUUGGGCCAGGAUUGCACCCAAUCCAACGUCACUGGCGUCUGUAUAUACAAGGAAAGGAAAAUCCAGGUCAGGAUGUCCCAGAAUGGGAGGAGAGAACCUUUGGAGGCAGAAGUCACAGACAUUUUUCCACCAUGCGGUUCCGGCUUUGGAGAUCUUUGCAUGUUUUUGGAAGAUGGGCCCGAUGACUGAUGAUCUCCAGCAGGGGAAUGGUACUGGGGACAUGAACCAGGUCUUUCUCUAGCUGGUGACCAAGCCUCACAAGCUCGUCCACGGAAUUGACUCGUCCACGGAGAUGACUUGCAAGCUGCGGCCUAACAUUCUUCAGGAUCAUUUUCACUAUCUCCAAAUCAGCAAUGUCAGGAUUCCAAUGCUUACAAAGAGCUCGAUAUGAAAAUGCAAAGUCUCGAAUAGACUCUUGUUCUCCUUGCCUCCGUUUCCUCACCCGGUCUGCUAACUCGUCUUCAUAGUCUUCGGACAAGAAAGCGGAAAGAAAGUCCUUCUGAAACUCAGCCCAAGACACAACCUGAGUUCUGGCAAUCUCCCACCAAUCGCGAGCGGUGCCAUGCAGAACAGUCCUAAAGGUGGCAAGGAUCUCUGCAUCAGACAGAGGAUGAACAGCCAGAAAGUCUUGACACUUGGACAAAUACAGAAGAGGAUCCGGAUCAUCAUGUGAUCUGCCAUAGGUAGGAAAAGACAGUUUUAGAUGGUCUGUUUUGAUG
Long non-coding RNA from Alosa alosa (allis shad), 1062 nucleotides. RefSeq lists it as uncharacterized. Lineage: Eukaryota; Metazoa; Chordata; Actinopteri; Clupeiformes; Clupeidae. The transcript has 4 exons. The record is from RefSeq and is a predicted model, not a curated record.